CCUACGGGGGGCUGCAGUGGGGAAUAUUGGACAAUGGGGGCAACCCUGAUCCAGCCAUGCCGCGUGUGUGAAGAAGGCCCUCGGGUUGUAAAGCACUUUCAGUGAGGAAGAACGCCUGGUGGUUAAAACCCAUCAGGAAAGACAUCACUCACAGAAGAAGCACCGGCUAACUCCGUGCCAGCAGCCGCGGUAAUACGGAGGGUGCGAGCGUUAAUCGGAAUUACUGGGCGUAAAGCGCGCGUAGGUGGCUUGAUAAGCCGGUUGUGAAAGCCCCGGGCUCAACCUGGGAACGGCAUCCGGAACUGUCAAGCUAGAGUGCAGGAGAGGAAGGUAGAAUUCCCGGUGUAGCGGUGAAAUGCGUAGAGAUCGGGAGGAAUACCAGUGGCGAAGGCGGCCUUCUGGACUGACACUGACACUGAGGUGCGAAAGCGUGGGUAGCAAACAGGAUUAGAUACCCCGGUAGUC
This 465-nucleotide ribosomal RNA is filed under the name Vreelandella stevensii. RNAcentral describes it as "partial 16S ribosomal RNA". It matches the Rfam family "Bacterial small subunit ribosomal RNA", at positions 338 to 795 of the family's 1533-position model. Lineage: Bacteria; Pseudomonadati; Pseudomonadota; Gammaproteobacteria; Oceanospirillales; Halomonadaceae. The record is from RNAcentral.